RNAcentral lists this non-coding RNA (192 nucleotides) under Anaerosphaera sp. The record is from RNAcentral. Lineage: Bacteria; Bacillati; Bacillota; Tissierellia; Tissierellales; Peptoniphilaceae.
UUGCAUUUUCAAGUAUGUAGUGAUAUAAUUAUAUUGAUAUUGUAUAGGGGAAGUUUAAAAAACGCAGUCGCCGCUGCCGUUGGCGCACACUAAGUAAACACUUAUGUCACUGUUAUUCGUUUAAUAAUGGGAAGGCGUUUACAAGGGCUUAAAACGCUAGCCGGAAAACCUUACUUUAUCAAGAAAUACCUU